CUGAAGCCUCAUGUCGUGUUCCCCUAUAAUAAUGCCUGGGAGGUGGAGUUUGUCUUUUUAUGGAGAGAAGUGGUUUCUGACUCUUAACAAGACAAAAGUGUGGAAUUACCCUAACUUAGGAAGAGAUUUUAGUGACAGGGCUGAGGAAUGGAGAAAGAAAGGAACAUUCUAAUUUUUGGAACAGUGAUCAGGGACUAGAACUUCAUGUGUUGUUUGUAGAUUCUCAGGUUUGGAUGAUGAAUAAGUAACUAAUGAAUGACAUCUUCUCAUACAUUCCCUUAAAAAUGUGUUACUAGAUCCAGUUUUGGUCUAAAUCAGCUUAUACUUGAGACAAUUGAAGUGUCUUUGUGGGAUGGUGAAUGGUCACUAAAAACACCUCCUAGCCUUUGUCUCUUAUUAGUAGUGUUAAAACAGCCAAGUCUGUACUCUUCAGAGAAUCUGCAUGUAAACUGAUGUUUUCUAGGAAUAUUUGUAUUUUCUUGUGCAUGAAAAUGUUUCUAGGGAGAGAACCUCUAACAUCUAUCAGUUUUUUGUGUUGAGUGCUUCAAGGCCUUAAAAAAACCCUGAAUCUUC
This 573-nucleotide long non-coding RNA is filed under the name Marmota monax (woodchuck). Lineage: Eukaryota; Metazoa; Chordata; Mammalia; Rodentia; Sciuridae. The record is from RNAcentral.